This 326-nucleotide long non-coding RNA is filed under the name Chrysolophus pictus (golden pheasant). RNAcentral's name for it is "lncRNA (ENSCPIG00010006482.1)". Lineage: Eukaryota; Metazoa; Chordata; Aves; Galliformes; Phasianidae. The record is from RNAcentral.
GCGAUUGGGAUGAGGGAAUGAGAUGGACAGAUUCACAGUUGCUGGGGAGCCCCGGUUGCAGGAAGGAUCUGGAGAAGCCGUCCCAGCAGUUGGGAACUCAUACAGCGAUGUGUCCACCCCGGAGGUGAGGUCUGCAGAGCCACUGCAAGCACGUCCAGCCUUGAUGCCCGUGAAUGAACGCAGCAGUCAGGCGAGACUGAAUUGGAAAGUGAAAGUGCUGCUACUAUGGAACUUCAACCAAUUCCUGGGGAGAAAAAGACAGGACAACCUCUGCAGGUUCUUUCUGCAUCUCCCUGGGGCACUGGCAGCAGUGCUGAAGACACUCA